CCGUGGGUUUAAGGCACAUGGGUUUCCUAAGCACUUGUUCCUGGGUGCUCCCUCCACGAGGAGCACUCCCGUGGGUCCCGCGGGUUUAAGGCACAUGGGUUUCCUAAGCACUUGUUCCUGGGUGCUCCCUCCACAAGGAGCACUCCCGUGGGUACCGCGGGUUUAAGGCACAUGGGUUUCCUAAGCACUUGUUCCUGGGUGCUCCCUCCACGAGGAGCACUCCUGGUGGUUACUGGGGGUUUAAGAAGCCACAGGGUUUUCCUAAGCACUUGCAACAUUUUGCAUUCUCUCUGCUAACAGGCGGGCAUUCCCGAUGGACGCGCCUCAGCACCUGGGUUUCCAGUGUUGUCCGGCUGCUGGGCCAGCGGGGCUCCCACUGAGACCCUCAGCUGCACUGUCCACUUGCUGAGGCUGAGCACUUGGGUGCACCAGCUGUCUGUCCCUGUGGAGCCGGGUUCUCCACGCCGUUGAGUUCCGGAAUUCUCCUGUUGUCAGCAUGAGGUUUCGGCAGGUUUGCAGCACCAUUCACAGGGAGCACCUGGUGCUGUCUGCUGGCCUUGACCAGGCUCUGUUCCGUCCAGCGAUCCCUUGCCUGUGGCUGGACAUGGCAGCUUUAAGCCGGCGGAAGGGACUCCGAGCGUGUGCGCCCGUUGGAGUCAGGACAGCCUAAUUGAAGGCCCGUCUCCGUCCAGACUCCAGGAAUUACAGCCCAGCGCCGGCACUUUCAUUUCUGAGCUCCUGUUUCGUAAUUAGAGCUUGAGGAAAUGGCACACCGUACGCGGGAGUGAGUCUGCCUGCAGCCGGGACAGUCAUCCUGGAAGGAGGAGGUCCAGAGCUCAGACGCGGAGGCACAGUGCGGGCCAGAGCGCGUGCCUGCAGGGCAGAGGGUGGCUCCUCUCUGGGAACUGGUUUCACUGCCCCGAGCACCUGCAGCUGCUGCUGGCUCACGCAGGCCCUGUAUAGAGUGACCACCAGGAGCCACGGGAAGAAGUCCUCGCGGGGUUGUGGAGGGACGCGGUGUGGUCAGAGCAGAGGACUGGUCGACGCCCACCCGGGCAGGCCCCUCUGCUGUGUCCCUUCCUUCCCCUCCCUCUGCCUGUCUUCCGCACACUGCUCCCAGUGCCCUCAGCCCCAAGCCCUGUGGACUAGAGGCAGAGCUGGCCCAGCCACUGCUGAGGCAGAAGGACCGUGACCUGGGGACUGGGCUGACGUAAAAGUCCCUGAAAAUUCACUGCAGAUGGGUCCUGUGCUGCAGCAGGUUAUGCCGGUGCUCAGGAUGCCCACAUCGCAUGUGGGGGUGACUGUUCAAGCCCCAGCUGCUCCACUUCCAGUCCAGCUCCUGCUCCGUGGACGAUGGCCCAAGGACUGAGGUCCCUGCCACCCAUCUGUGAGACCCAGAUGGGGUCCUGGCUCCUGGCUUUGGCUUGGCCCAGCCCCGGCUGCUGCACAUUUGGGGAAUGAACCUGUAGAUGGAAGAUGGGUCUCUCCCCCCCUCCCCACCUCCUUCUCCCUCCC
This is a non-coding RNA of Oryctolagus cuniculus (rabbit), 1515 nucleotides long. Lineage: Eukaryota; Metazoa; Chordata; Mammalia; Lagomorpha; Leporidae. The record is from RefSeq and is a predicted model, not a curated record.